GAUGGAGAUAGUGAUCGGAUGGGAAGAUGGUGAAUAUGGCCGACUAGCUGUCCUUUCAAGUCCAAACCAUCCUGAAAAUAAAGGAAGAACAAUGAGUUAUAAGUAAUGAAAACAAGGACUAGAAAAUAAAGAUAGGAUGGAAUGGAUUGAUGAAGUGAAGAUAGAUGAUGUAUGGAUGGAUGGAAGAUGAUGUUGGAUAGAUGUUCAAUCUGUGGGUGCUGAUUGACUCU
RNAcentral lists this long non-coding RNA (230 nucleotides) under Brassica napus (rape). RNAcentral describes it as "long non-coding RNA (BNAP_LNC012244)". Lineage: Eukaryota; Viridiplantae; Streptophyta; Magnoliopsida; Brassicales; Brassicaceae. The record is from RNAcentral.